RNAcentral lists this non-coding RNA (24 nucleotides) under Gallus gallus (chicken). Lineage: Eukaryota; Metazoa; Chordata; Aves; Galliformes; Phasianidae. The record is from miRBase by way of RNAcentral.
UCUCAGGGUUCUGAAGGAGCUGGC